GCUGCACACUAUUAAAGCUCGGGGUGGAGGCCAGUCUUGGCCGAUGAACUUCUGAGUGUCGGAAGUGUGCUAUAUUAAUGGCAGGACUUUCGCUGACACCAGUAGAGCUUGCCUCUAUGACUGGAGUUGAUAGUGCUCUCUGCCACAUUC
Molecule: non-coding RNA, 150 nt
Organism: Myotis brandtii (Brandt's bat)
Lineage: Eukaryota; Metazoa; Chordata; Mammalia; Chiroptera; Vespertilionidae
Source: Rfam